Molecule: non-coding RNA, 669 nt
Organism: Arachis ipaensis
Lineage: Eukaryota; Viridiplantae; Streptophyta; Magnoliopsida; Fabales; Fabaceae
Source: RefSeq, a predicted model, not a curated record
ACACGGUUUCACCACGGAAUUUCAAAGUUGUCAUAAGAAGAUAUUUUAUAAGAAAACUGUUUUCAAGCUCAGUGGUUAUCAUUGUCUUAUGAAUCUUUUAAAAACCAAUACGUAAUCGUUCAAAAUCUUUUCAAGGAAACAAUGUUUAUUCUUUCAGAAAUCCGAAACCUUUCCUUUCUUAUAAGAAAAUAUCAAUUAGAAACCAACCAUGCAAUUCAACAACACAAUCAUUAAUUCAGCACCAAAAUUCAUUCUUAAAUGUAGCAUGUCAGGACAAACACAGGCAAGACAGACAAGAAAAGCACAAGUAGGUAGCAGUUAUAGCAAAUAGUUCAAGUAGCAGUUAAGAACAGUUUAGCAAUUAGGCAAACCAAAACAAGUUCAAACCCAAGCAAAGCAUACAAAUGCAUAUGAUGCAUGCCUGUCCUAUGACUGGUGAGGCUCAUCUAUCGGUUAUCCAGCCAACCCGACAAGUCUGAAUUGUACUUAGAUUGUCCCCCGACAUGCAUCUCCAAGAGUCUAGGCAUAGCUUUUUCUCAAAUAAUCAAUAUUGCUCAAUGGGAGUAACAUUCCCAGGAAUUUAUAUAGAGCCCGGUUACACUUACGUCGUAGGGUCAAUAGAGUAUCGAGUUUUCAACCUUGACGAGCCGAAUUCCCAUGGGCAAACAC